CCGCUUGACAACAACGAACUCAUCUCGUACAUCUUCACCGGCCUCCCCGAUGACUACAACCCCGUUGUGACGUCCCUCAUCGCUAGGGCAGAAUCGAUGUCCAUCGGAGAGGUGUAUGCGUAGCUGCUUAGCUUUGAAC
This 139-nucleotide small nucleolar RNA is filed under the name Setaria italica (foxtail millet). Its description in RNAcentral is "Small nucleolar RNA Z247". It matches the Rfam family "Small nucleolar RNA Z247". Rfam says of the family: Z247 is a member of the C/D class of snoRNA which contain the C (UGAUGA) and D (CUGA) box motifs. Most of the members of the box C/D family function in directing site-specific 2'-O-methylation of substrate RNAs. Lineage: Eukaryota; Viridiplantae; Streptophyta; Magnoliopsida; Poales; Poaceae. The record is from Rfam by way of RNAcentral.